UACGAAGGGGGCUAGCGUUGCUCGGAAUUACUGGGCGUAAAGGGCGCGUAGGCGGAUAUCUAAGUCGGGGGUGAAAGCCCAGGGCUCAACCCUGGAAUUGCCUUCGAUACUGGAUAUCUUGAGUACGGGAGAGGUGAGUGGAACUCCGAGUGUAGAGGUGAAAUUCGUAGAUAUUCGGAAGAACACCAGUGGCGAAGGCGACUCACUGGCCCGUUACUGACGCUGAGGCGCGAAAGCGUGGGGAGCAAACAGG
Molecule: ribosomal RNA, 253 nt
Filed under: uncultured bacterium
Lineage: Bacteria
Description: partial 16S ribosomal RNA
Rfam family: Bacterial small subunit ribosomal RNA
Source: RNAcentral